RNAcentral lists this ribosomal RNA (811 nucleotides) under Escherichia coli. RNAcentral's name for it is "partial 23S ribosomal RNA". It matches the Rfam family "Bacterial large subunit ribosomal RNA", at positions 458 to 1268 of the family's 2925-position model. Lineage: Bacteria; Pseudomonadati; Pseudomonadota; Gammaproteobacteria; Enterobacterales; Enterobacteriaceae. The record is from RNAcentral.
CUCCAAGGCUAAAUACUCCUGACUGACCGAUAGUGAACCAGUACCGUGAGGGAAAGGCGAAAAGAACCCCGGCGAGGGGAGUGAAAAAGAACCUGAAACCGUGUACGUACAAGCAGUGGGAGCACGCUUAGGCGUGUGACUGCGUACCUUUUGUAUAAUGGGUCAGCGACUUAUAUUCUGUAGCAAGGUUAACCGAAUAGGGGAGCCGAAGGGAAACCGAGUCUUAACUGGGCGUUAAGUUGCAGGGUAUAGACCCGAAACCCGGUGAUCUAGCCAUGGGCAGGUUGAAGGUUGGGUAACACUAACUGGAGGACCGAACCGACUAAUGUUGAAAAAUUAGCGGAUGACUUGUGGCUGGGGGUGAAAGGCCAAUCAAACCGGGAGAUAGCUGGUUCUCCCCGAAAGCUAUUUAGGUAGCGCCUCGUGAAUUCAUCUCCGGGGGUAGAGCACUGUUUCGGCAAGGGGGUCAUCCCGACUUACCAACCCGAUGCAAACUGCGAAUACCGGAGAAUGUUAUCACGGGAGACACACGGCGGGUGCUAACGUCCGUCGUGAAGAGGGAAACAACCCAGACCGCCAGCUAAGGUCCCAAAGUCAUGGUUAAGUGGGAAACGAUGUGGGAAGGCCCAGACAGCCAGGAUGUUGGCUUAGAAGCAGCCAUCAUUUAAAGAAAGCGUAAUAGCUCACUGGUCGAGUCGGCCUGCGCGGAAGAUGUAACGGGGCUAAACCAUGCACCGAAGCUGCGGCAGCGACGCUGAUGCGUUGUUGGGUAGGGGAGCGUUCUGUAAGCCUGCGAAGGUGUGCUGUGAGG